This is a long non-coding RNA of Equus caballus (horse), 1655 nucleotides long. The record is from Ensembl. NCBI's taxonomy places the organism in Eukaryota, Metazoa, Chordata, Mammalia, Perissodactyla, Equidae.
AGAAAACUUUACAAGUUGUUUACUAAAGUGAAAGCCAUAAAUUUUAGUAAUGGAAGAUGAAAUUUAGCCAUCUGUGGAAGUGAUUACACCCUUCACAGAGAAUAAAGUACCCAGUGUAAACAGAUCUUAUAAUGGAAAAUGCACGUCUGGAGGGGAAUAGCUUCCAUUCAGGAUCAGCAUUCAGGACAGCUCUACAAGACUGUCCCGCUGUCUUAUCUGUGACACAGUUGAUGCCGAAUUUAACACAAGAUAGCAGUCCCCAAGUGCUCCCAAUUGCAGGAACCCUGCUAAUCCCAACAUCUAGAGUGUGUUGUCAUAAGGCAUGAUGCAUCCUUUGUGGGGGGAGAUGUUCAGCCUAAAGGACGGAAAAGAAGCAAAGGAUUUGCCACAUUUCACAUCACAAAAGGGAUUAAAGAGGCUCCUUUCCCUUUGACUGGUUAACAGCUCUUGUGUCAGCGUCUUCGUCACGUUUCAUAUAAUUAUUAGGCAUUAAAAGGUCCUUGUAAAUGUCUGCGUCUGAACAUUUUUAUAGUUCUGCCAUUGUCUGAUGAGGAGGAUGCUUCCUUGUUUCAGGAGUGUGUCAACUGAUGAGACAGGAUAGGGAAAGCCUAACUGAUUCCAGAAAUAAUUCUCAAUCCAAAAAAGAUUAUGCUUUCUUGCAAAAUGGUAUCUGGUAUAUUGUUCAUGUUACUUUAUUUCAAGUAGUAAAAAUAAAAUGCCUUGGAUCAGACUGAUUAGAAGGAACCUUGAGUUUUUGAUCUUUUGAAGAUCCAAGAAAGAUUAUCUGGUCCAGCUGUUAAUGAGAAGACUGAAGCCCAGAGAGAAGUGAGUACCCACAUCUCAGAACCAGCCCAGUGCGCUCACCUUGCUGUUUGCCGUCUCCUUGCUGGCUAUACGUUUAAAGUCAAGUGGUUCUAAACAGCAAUCCAGAUGUUCCAUAAAAACUGUCAAAGCAGUGAGCAUAUCAUGCUGAAUCUGGCAGCACAGAGUUAGGAGAGCCGGUCUUCCUCCUGUAGUCAAUAAUCAUUUCCUGAGUCCUGCUGAGUUUCAAGAUCUGUGCUGAGCACUUCCAUCCUCUCCAGAGAGAAGAUCCGCGGGUACAGGCUCAGUCACCCAGGAUCCAAAGAAAGAAAAUGCCUUUAAGGACAGUAUGAUCACCAGAUCACCAGCCCCCAGCUGCUGCUGAAGCCCAGAAGUCUGGUUGCCCAAGAGGUUAUCUGAAGUAAAAGAAACAGAUUUCCCCUCUGUUUUCUCUGAAACUCCUCCUCCCAAGCCAGUUAGCUCUUUAAAGACCCCCUGCUUUCUUCUUUCACGAAGGCGCAUUUGAGAAGGCCUAUCCUGGGGCCUUCUCUUCUCAUUUUGACCAAUUUGAAUAACCCUUUCUCCAUCUCCAAGCACUGCUGUCUCAGUGACCGGCUUACUGUGCAUCAGGCACAGGAACUUGAGAUUAAGAGGUCAGGUAUCAAGUUCGCUUUGAAUGUGGAACAGACACAUGCAGAUUUGUUAUUCAGGAGGUCCCAGGCCAGCUAAAGAGAUGAGAGUGCCCUGCCCCACAAACAAGAGAAGCUUACUGGAGGCCAAUAACCAUGCGCUCUGCUGGUUGGCGCUUCAGGAUAUUAGAAAAGGUCAGCUGAGUUGUCGAAGCUUCAUUCUAG